This 442-nucleotide ribosomal RNA is filed under the name uncultured bacterium. Its description in RNAcentral is "partial 16S ribosomal RNA". It matches the Rfam family "Bacterial small subunit ribosomal RNA", at positions 195 to 632 of the family's 1533-position model. The record is from RNAcentral.
GGGGAUCGAAAGACCUUGYGCUUUAGGAGCGGCCGAUGUCUGAUUAGCUAGUUGGUGGGGUAAAGGCUUACCAAGGCGACGAUCAGUAGUUGGUCUGAGAGGACGACCARCCACACUGGGACUGAGACACGGCCCAGACUCCUACGGGAGGCAGCAGUGGGGAAUUUUGGACAAUGGGCGAAAGCCUGAUCCAGCCAUGCCGCGUGAGUGAAGAAGGCCUUCGGGUUGUAAAGCUCUUUCAGUCGGAAAGAAARAGUUGCAANGAAUAWUUGURAUUNAUGACGGUACCGACAGAARAAGCACCGGCUAACUACGUGCCAGCAGCCGCGGUAAUACGUAGGGUGCGAGCGUUAAUCGGAAUUACUGGGCGUAAAGGGUGCGCAGGCGGUUUUGYAAGUCAGAUGUGAAAUCCCCGGGCUUAACCUGGGAAUUGCGUUUGAAA